Acanthosepion pharaonis is the source of this 110-nucleotide non-coding RNA. Lineage: Eukaryota; Metazoa; Mollusca; Cephalopoda; Sepiida; Sepiidae. The record is from the annotation of a GenBank genome assembly.
AUGGCCACAUCACGUUGAAGUAUUGAUUCCCGUAUGAUCACCAAAGUUAAGCAAUGUUGAGCUUGGUCAGUACCUCGAUGAGUGACCAGUUGGGAAUACCAGGUACUGUA